GGGAGACAAUAAUCAGAUAAAUAUUAAGAUAUAUAAGUUCUAAAAGAUUUUAAAAAGUACUUUGAAGAAGCCAACUAUGAUGAAAUCUGCAGGUAGACCUAAUUUCAAUAGGUGCAGGAUAAUAUAAGCUGAAGCCAAAAAGUUGGAAAAGAAUAUUCCGGCAGAGCUUAGGUCUGUACUUCCUGUGUCUGGGAAAUGUCCAGUGAACAAAGAAACAAAUGAAGCCCAGUGUGGCAGAAACUUCAUGAAAGAGGGGUAGAAGCAAGAGGUAAGGUUGAAGAAGAGGGCCGGAGCACGGUGUGCAGGGCCUUCUGGCAUAUGUUAGAGAACUAGUAUUUUACGUUGAGUGCAAAGAGAAAUGAUUAAAGACUUUUAAACAGGGGAGAGAGGUUAUUUCUGAAGGACUAUUUUAUAAAAAUAGGCAAAAAUGGAAAUUUUAUAAGGAUG
RNAcentral lists this long non-coding RNA (447 nucleotides) under Homo sapiens (human). Its description in RNAcentral is "long non-coding RNA NONHSAT255371". Lineage: Eukaryota; Metazoa; Chordata; Mammalia; Primates; Hominidae. The record is from RNAcentral.